UAAAAAUUUUCCCUACAGGGCAGGAGGGACUUACACCAGUAGCCUCAGAAGGUUUAGCUGUAUCCAUGUGCAAGUGUUGAAUUCGUCCUGAGAAAGUACUUGGGGAAAUUAGAGGAACUCAUUAAAUCUUUUGGACCAAGAGCUAACACUGAACCCUAGAACUACCUGGUUUCAUGAAUGCCAAAAGAGAUAUUUUUAGUUUCACAUUUGUUUAAUGAACACAGGCCCUGGAACCAUCAUCUGAGUAUAGUAAUUUGAGAUAUAAUUUUAAGAUUACUGGAAGACAGUGUAAUAGGCUUGAUGUCUGUCCUCAUCUGGUGUUUGAUAUUCUUUCCUCUUGAGUAUUCCAGGCCCAAGAGAGGCUUGAAAGUUGAUAAUGUGUGUUUUUCCACUGUUGCCCUUUCAACAGGGUCUAGAAUUUCCAACUGGUCUAACUGUGAAACUUGUCUUCUUGCUGAAAUGUUUUUCCUUGAUUUGGGGUUUUCUUGAAAUUAUUGCCAAAGUCAUAUGACAUAAAUUGUAAAUGCCACAAAAUUUAUUCUGCUAUUCUUGAGAUAAAACAUGGAAAUCUGAAAGUUGAAGGCUAGGACUUGGGAAGAGAACUUAAGAAGCUACCAUUUCAAAAUCCUUAAUGAAGGGAUUAUAUCACCUGCUUGCUUUGACUUGAAAGUCUCUUGAAUGAUCUUGUUCAUCUGUCAGACAAUCCCUGCGUCAAUGAUUAAUAAAAACACUCUAGCCUGAGGGUGGGCUUGUGCUGAAACACUGAGGGAGGCAAAGUGCAGCAGGAGUAGAAUCUGAAUUCCAAACCCAGACUAUGCCUAGAGCAAGGGUUCUCCAGCCUGACUGUGUCAGAGCCAGCAGGAUGCUUUCACCACCACCAGCAACACCAGUGACACCCCCAGCACCAGCAGCACCAGCAGCACCACCAGCACCAGCAACAAUAACAUAGUUUCUCAUCUACCGAAUGAAAAACUAUGACCUGAUCAAAUUUUUCACCUAAGUUAAUGGCAAUUUCUUAAUCUAUCUCUGUUCCAUAGCUGAACUCCUGGAACACUGAUGAUGACUACAACAUUUAGCAAAUCCCAGACUCUGGCAUGGAUCCAGCUCACCUAUGAGCAUUUAUAGUAAAUUAUAUUUCAAUGGAAAUAAGUUAUUUGUGUGGAGUUUGUGAUAGUCACAUGAAUGAUAAUACUUAUUAUAUUUAUGCUUGUAGUGAUUUUAAUGAUUAUUGUCAUACCUUGAAAGAUAUUAUAUUGAUA
Molecule: long non-coding RNA, 1259 nt
Filed under: Homo sapiens (human)
Lineage: Eukaryota; Metazoa; Chordata; Mammalia; Primates; Hominidae
Description: HSALNT0072211
Source: RNAcentral